GGUUAAGUGACUAAGCGUACACGGUGGAUGCCUAGGCAGUCAGAGGCGAUGAAGGGCGUGCUAAUCUGCGAAAAGCGUCGGUAAGGUGAUAUGAACCGUUACAACCGGCGAUACCCGAAUGAAACCCAGUGUGUUUCGACACACUAUCAUGUCAUGAAUACAUAGUGGCAUGGGCGAACCGGGGAACUGAAACAUCUAAGUACCCCGAGGAAAAGAAAUCAAUUCCCCCAGUAGCGGCGAGCGAACGGGGAGGAGCCCAGAACCUGAAUCGGCUUGUGUGUUAGUGGAAGCGUCUGGAAAGUCGCGCAGCAAAGGGUGAUAGCCCCGUACACUAAAAUGCACAGGUCGUGAGUUCGAUGAGUAGGGCGGGACACGUGACAUCCUGUCUGAAUAUGGGGACCAUCCUCCAAGGCUAAAUACUCCUGACUGACCGAUAGUGAACCAGUACCGUGAGGGAAAGGCGAAAAGAACCCCGGCGAGGGAGUGAAAUAGAACCUGAAACCGUGUACGUACAAGCAGUGGGAGCACCUUCGUGGUGUGACUGCGUACCUUUGUAUAAUGGGUCAGCGACUUAUAUUUUGUAGCAAGGUUAACCGUAUAGGGAGCCGUAGGAAACCGAGUCUUAACUGGGCGAAUAGUUGCAAGGUAUAGACCCGAAACCCGGUGAUCUAGCCAUGGGCAGGUUGAAGGUUGGGUAACACUAACUGGAGGACCGAACCGACUAAUGUUGAAAAAUUAGCGGAUGACUUGUGGCUGGGGUGAAAGGCCAAUCAAACCGGGAGAUAGCUGGUUCUCCCGAAAGCUAUUUAGGUAGCGCCUCGUGAACUCAUCUUCGGGGUAGAGCACUGUUUCGGCUAGGGGCCAUCCCGGCUUACCAAACCGAUGCAAACUCCGAAUACCGAAGAAUGUUAUCACGGGAGACACACGGCGGUGCUAACGUCCGUCGUGAAGAGGAAACAACCCAGACCGCCAGCUAAGGUCCCAAAGUCAUGGUUAAGUGGAAACGAUGUGGGAAGGCACAGACAGCCAGGAUGUUGGCUUAGAAGCAGCCAUCAUUUAAAGAAAGCGUAAUAGCUCACUGGUCGAGUCGGCCUGCGCGGAAGAUGUAACGGGCUAAACCAUGCACCGAAGCUGCGGCAGCGACGCUUAGGCGUUGUUGGGUAGGGGAGCGUUCUGUAAGCCGUUGAAGGUGGCCUGUGAGGGUUGCUGGAGGUAUCAGAAGUGCGAAUGCUGACAUAAGUAACGAUAAAGCGGGUGAAAAGCCCGCUCGCCGGAAGACCAAGGGUUCCUGUCCAACGUUAAUCGGGGCAGGGUGAGUCGACCCUAAGGCGAGGCUGAAAAGCGUAGUCGAUGGGAAACAGGUUAAUAUUCCUGUACUUGGUGUUACUGCGAAGGGGGACGGAGAAGGCUAGGCUGGCCGGGCGACGGUUGUCCCGGUUUAAGCGUGUAGGGGGUGUGACCUGGUAAAUCCGGUUGCAUACUAACCCUGAGGCGUGAUGACGAUGCACUACGGUGCAGAAGUAGUUGAUGCCCUGCUUCCAGGAAAAUCCUCUAAGCUCCAGGUAACAUUGAAUCGUACCCCAAACCGACACAGGUGGUCAGGUAGAGAAUACCAAGGCGCUUGAGAGAACUCGGGUGAAGGAACUAGGCAAAAUGGUGCCGUAACUUCGGGAGAAGGCACGCUGGCAUGUAGGUGAAGUCCCUUGCGGAUGGAGCUGAAGCCAGUCGAAGAUACCAGCUGGCUGCAACUGUUUAAUAAAAACACAGCACUGUGCAAACACGAAAGUGGACGUAUACGGUGUGACGCCUGCCCGGUGCUGGAAGGUUAAUUGAUGGGGUCAGCCGCAAGGCGAAGCUCUUGAUCGAAGCCCCAGUAAACGGCGGCCGUAACUAUAACGGUCCUAAGGUAGCGAAAUUCCUUGUCGGGUAAGUUCCGACCUGCACGAAUGGCGUAAUGAUGGCCAGGCUGUCUCCACCCGAGACUCAGUGAAAUUGAACUCGCUGUGAAGAUGCAGUGUACCCGCGGCAAGACGGAAAGACCCCGUGAACCUUUACUAUAGCUUGACACUGAACAUUGAGCCUUGAUGUAGGAUAGGUGGGAGGCUUUGAAGCGUGGACGCCAGUCUGCGUGGAGCCAUCCUUGAAAUACCACCCUUUAAUGUUUGAUGUUCUAACUCGGCCCCGUGAUCCGGGGUGAGGACAGUGUCUGGUGGGUAGUUUGACUGGGGCGGUCUCCUCCCAAAGAGUAACGGAGGAGCACGAAGGUUAGCUAAUCACGGUCGGACAUCGUGAGGUUAGUGCAAAGGCAUAAGCUAGCUUGACUGCGAGAGUGACGGCUCGAGCAGGUACGAAAGUAGGUCUUAGUGAUCCGGUGGUUCUGAAUGGAAGGGCCAUCGCUCAACGGAUAAAAGGUACUCCGGGAUAACAGGCUGAUACCGCCCAAGAGUUCAUAUCGACGGCGGUGUUUGGCACCUCGAUGUCGGCUCAUCACAUCCUGGGGCUGAAGUAGGUCCCAAGGGUAUGGCUGUUCGCCAUUUAAAGUGGUACGCGAGCUGGGUUUAGAACGUCGUGAGACAGUUCGGUCCCUAUCUGCCGUGGGCGUUGGAAGAUUGAGAGGGGUUGCUCCUAGUACGAGAGGACCGGAGUGAACGCACCACUGGUGUUCGGGUUGUCAUGCCAAUGGCAUUGCCCGGUAGCUAAGUGCGGAAAAGAUAAGCGCUGAAAGCAUCUAAGCGCGAAACUUGCCUCAAGAUGAGUCUUCCCUUGGACUUUGAGUCCACUGAAGGAACGUUUAAGACUAAGACGUUGAUAGGCUGGGUGUGUAAGUGCAGCGAUGCAUUGAGCUAACCAGUACUAAUGAUCCGUGAGGCAACCUU
Molecule: ribosomal RNA, 2876 nt
Filed under: Serratia marcescens
Lineage: Bacteria; Pseudomonadati; Pseudomonadota; Gammaproteobacteria; Enterobacterales; Yersiniaceae
Description: 23S ribosomal RNA
Rfam family: Bacterial large subunit ribosomal RNA
Source: RNAcentral